Non-coding RNA from Polaribacter sp. KT25b, 137 nucleotides. The record is from Rfam. Lineage: Bacteria; Pseudomonadati; Bacteroidota; Flavobacteriia; Flavobacteriales; Flavobacteriaceae.
CUGUGUUAGGGAUUGAAAUGGCAUCCUUUUUAUCAGUAUAUUAAUACCCAAUACCUAUAUUAUUACCUGAAUUUUAGUGAAAAAAUAAUACCUUUUAUAUUUAGCAUAAAAAGAUAUAAUGCAAAGCCCGACCUUUU